CCUCCGGUUGGAGCCGUCCCGGCGGCCUCAACGCUGCGUAGGCCGGGGAUCGCUCCUCGCUCUCGCGGAACGUGGCCUCCUCAUGUGCUGACGGCUUGUAGUCGUUUUGGCGAGAAAUUUUUUGUAAAUGCGAUGAUAGUGACAUCUUCGAAGGUUACGCACAAACGGGGUCUUGGCACACGUUCCUGCUCCAGGAGGAUGGAAGGCUAAACUUUUGCUUCACCGUGGUGUGAUGCGCUCUGUGCGGGUGCUUGGCGGGGCUGGUCUUAUGCCUUCUCGCCUUUCCUCUUUCACCGCACCCCUCCUCUUUCUUUUCUCCUCCAAGGCUUUUGGAGAUGGUGCUCUUGACCAAGCUUUUGUCUCACUAGGUAUGGACAACCAGAAGGAUGAGAAAGGCAGGCUGCUCAGUGCAGCUUCUGCAGAGGACCUGAAAGUCCGAGGAAAAGAAAAAAGGAAAAGAAAACGUAGCAGAAGCAGAUCAUCAUCCGUUUCAUCCACAUCAUCUUCUAGCACUACAUCCACUUCUUCUUCCUCAUCGCAUUCGUCAUCAAGGUCGUCAUCUUCAAGUAGCAGAGGUAAGCUGAAGCUUUUGGGAAAAGUGGUUGCCAGUGAAAACUGAGGACAAAAAAUUAUUGGGCGCCUUAGCCUUCUCCAUGCGUGUUGUCGCCAGUUCUCCUAUCUUGUUUGUCAGAGAAGGUACACUCUCUUUAGUCUUCCUUUUUUGGCUCAGUACCUGUAGAAUCCUUUAUUCUUUGCUUCCCUUGCCAAGUCCUUCUGGUAUUACCGUGAGAGCAAAUUCUCAUUUUUAUUGUUUCUUUUGACAUGCUUGAGCUGCAUGUGUUGUUAGGAAGACAGAAAAAGAUUGCUUGAGCAGCCUUACCUUAGACAUUUUUAAGUUUUGAGCCUGGCUAUGCUCUGGUAUAUUCCUGUAAUGUUUUAUUUGGAAUUGUAAAGGAACUGCAGAGCUGACAGCUUGAAGGCAAUUGGUUGGAAGACAGGAUUGGAUUGUUUAACUGUCUUUCUAGGCUGACCUUCCUGUUCUCAAAGCUUGUGCUUCAAAGUCAAAUUCCUCGUAUAUCAGUUGUAAUCUUUAAAAUUCAUGAUCAGCUCAUAGUUUCUACUUUAAAAAA
RNAcentral lists this long non-coding RNA (1130 nucleotides) under Meleagris gallopavo (turkey). RNAcentral's name for it is "lncRNA (ENSMGAG00000021552.1)". The record is from RNAcentral. Lineage: Eukaryota; Metazoa; Chordata; Aves; Galliformes; Phasianidae.